Molecule: ribosomal RNA, 325 nt
Filed under: Lactococcus lactis
Lineage: Bacteria; Bacillati; Bacillota; Bacilli; Lactobacillales; Streptococcaceae
Description: bacterial SSU rRNA
Rfam family: Bacterial small subunit ribosomal RNA
Source: RNAcentral
CGUGGGGAAUCUGCCUUUGAGCGGGGGACAACAUUUGGAAACGAAUGCUAAUACCGCAUAAAAACUUUAAACACAAGUUUUAAGUUUGAAAGAUGCAAUUGCAUCACUCAAAGAUGAUCCCGCGUUGUAUUAGCUAGUUGGUGAGGUAAAGGCUCACCAAGGCGAUGAUACAUAGCCGACCUGAGAGGGUGAUCGGCCACAUUGGGACUGAGACACGGCCCAAACUCCUACGGGAGGCAGCAGUAGGGAAUCUUCGGCAAUGGACGAAAGUCUGACCGAGCAACGCCGCGUGAGUGAAGAAGGUUUUCGGAUCGUAAAACUCUGU